Heligmosomoides polygyrus is the source of this 71-nucleotide non-coding RNA. Lineage: Eukaryota; Metazoa; Nematoda; Chromadorea; Rhabditida; Heligmosomidae. The record is from Rfam.
GCGCCGGUGGUGUAAGGCGAACAUCGCUGCCCGGAAAGCAGAAGAUGCGGGUUCUAGUCCCGCCCGGCGCA